CUUUCCUUGAUGACGACUGGCGCACGGGUGAGUAACGCGUAUCCAACCUUCCCAUAACUACGGGAUAACCCGUUGAAAGACGGCCUAAUACCGUAUGAUAUCGUUUGCUGACAUCAAAUAACGAUUAAAGGUUUAGCGGUUAUGGAUGGGGAUGCGUCUGAUUAGCUUGUUGGCGGGGUAACGGCCCACCAAGGCAACGAUCAGUAGGGGUUCUGAGAGGAAGGUCCCCCACAUUGGAACUGAGACACGGUCCAAACUCCUACGGGAGGCAGCAGCU
Molecule: ribosomal RNA, 277 nt
Filed under: uncultured Prevotella sp.
Lineage: Bacteria; Pseudomonadati; Bacteroidota; Bacteroidia; Bacteroidales; Prevotellaceae
Description: partial 16S ribosomal RNA
Rfam family: Bacterial small subunit ribosomal RNA
Source: RNAcentral